RNAcentral lists this ribosomal RNA (460 nucleotides) under uncultured bacterium. RNAcentral's name for it is "partial 16S ribosomal RNA". It matches the Rfam family "Bacterial small subunit ribosomal RNA", at positions 338 to 795 of the family's 1533-position model. The record is from RNAcentral.
CCUACGGGAGGCAGCAGUGAGGAAUAUUGGUCAAUGGGCGUAAGCCUGAACCAGCCAAGUCGCGUGAGGGAUGAAGGUUCUAUGGAUCGUAAACCUCUUUUAUCAGGGACUCCAGUGUGGGACGUGUCCUAUUUUGUAUGUACCUUAUGAAUACGGAUCGGCUAACUCCGUGCCAGCAGCCGCGGUAAUACGGAGGAUCCGUGCGUUAUCCGGAUUUAUUGGGUUUAAAGGGUUCGGAGGCCUCCUUUUAAGUCAGCGGUGAAAGUCUGUGGCUCAACCAUAGAAUUGCCGUUGAAACUGGGGGGCUUGAGUAUGUGUGAGGCAGGCGGAAUGCGUGGUGUAGCGGGGAAAUGCUUAGAUAUCACGCAGAACCCCGAUUGCGAAGGCAGCCUGCCAAGCCAUGACUGACGCUGAUGCACGAAAGCGUGGGGAUCAAACAGGAUUAGAUACCCCAGUAGUC